RNAcentral lists this ribosomal RNA (253 nucleotides) under uncultured bacterium. Its description in RNAcentral is "partial 16S ribosomal RNA". It matches the Rfam family "Bacterial small subunit ribosomal RNA", at positions 524 to 776 of the family's 1533-position model. The record is from RNAcentral.
UACGGAGGUGGCUAGCGUUGUUCGGAAUUACUGGGCGUAAAGCGCACGUAGGCGGACUGUUAAGUCGGGGGUGAAAUCCCGGGGCUCAACCCCGGAACUGCCCUCGAUACUGGCAGUCUUGAGGACGGGAGAGGUGAGUGGAAUGCCGAGUGUAGAGGUGAAAUUCGUAGAUAUUCGGCGGAACACCAGUGGCGAAGGCGGCUCACUGGCCCGUUUCUGACGCUGAGGUGCGAAAGCGUGGGGAGCAAACAGG